AUUGAACGCUGGCGGAAUGCUUUACACAUGCAAGUCGAACGGCAGCACGGACUUCGGUCUGGUGGCGAGUGGCGAACGGGUGAGUAAUACAUCGGAACGUGCCCAGUCGUGGGGGAUAACGUAGCGAAAGCUACGCUAAUACCGCAUACGAUCUACGGAUGAAAGCGGGGGAUCGCAAGACCUUGCGCGAUUGGAGUGGCCGAUGGCAGAUUAGGUAGUUGGUGGGGUAAAGGCUCACCAAGCCGACGAUCUGUAGCUGGUCUGAUAGGACGACCAGCCACCCUGGGACUGAGACACGGCCCAGACUCGUACGGGAGGCAGCAGUGGGGAAUUUUGGACAAUGGGCGCGAGCCUGAUCCAGCCAUUCCGCGUGCAGGAUGAAGGCCCUCGGGUUGUAAACUGCUUUUGUACAGAACGAAAAGGCUCUGGUUAAUACCUGGGGCUCAUGACGGUACUGUAAGAAUAAGCACCGGCUAACUACGUGCCAGCAGCCGCCGUAA
This 500-nucleotide ribosomal RNA is filed under the name uncultured bacterium. RNAcentral describes it as "partial 16S ribosomal RNA". It matches the Rfam family "Bacterial small subunit ribosomal RNA", at positions 30 to 523 of the family's 1533-position model. The record is from RNAcentral.